CUCACCGUCGCAUGCGGUCCCCCUGUGCACCACCCGUCGUGCCACCAUGCCAACGACGAGUCCUUCUUCGCUCCCCGACAACGGACUUCACCUCGCCGUCAGAGAGAGUGUUGUGUGUCCGCCAUGAAUGUGCGAUAAGUUCAUUAUAUGAUGAAAAAAUUGGAAUGCUUUGCUAUAUCAGAAGCGAAAGGCUUUUGAGAAUGAGAAAGUAAGAGCGACGACAUGCUUGUGGUUGUGGCAUUCAAGAAAUUUCUUGUGAAGAUUGGAGGCAAGUUUGAGAGAGAGUAGUGCCCUGCAUUUUUUUUUUUUGGUUUAAGGAGUUGAAAGAGCACUGUGUUUUUCUUGAUUUCCCGAUCCCGCCGUCUCACAAUUCCAUCGACCUCUCGUGAUCCUUUGAGGAAGCUGGGCAACGUUAUGCGCUGGUGGGGCAGAGACGUUUGGCCGCCGUGGAGAGAUGCGCGGUGGGGAGGAGAUUGUGUCGUCUUGGGCGACAAGCUAUAUCGCGUGGCCGUGGGGGAGAGCUGGCUCGUGUCGCCAUCAAAGGAGGAGUACGAAGAAUUGCCGGAGGUGGUGGAGGAGUUUGCCGGCAUUUGGUCAUAGACGCAGUUGGCUUAAAGAAGAAACGAUUUUUUUUUUUUUUUUUUAGGGUUUUCGUUUUUGUUUUAGCUAAUCAGGUGUAAUCUAAAUCAUUAUUAUCUGGUGUAUCUCUUUUAAACUGAACCGUUAAACGCAAAUCAAUUUGGCUAAUCAAUUUGGUACUCUACAAGUGGGAAAAAGCAAGGACCCUUGCCAUAGACUUUCUCUAAAUUCACUCUUAACAUUUCUCUCUUCUCAUCGCCGCCGCACUCUCUUUCUCCUCCCCUCUCUCGGACCAUUCUUUCCGCCGUCGUCGUGGCUAGAAAAGCCGUCGCCAUUGCGUGGGAAGCCCGUUUUCAUGCCGUCAUCGUUCUCGUUCGCAUGGGAUCUCACGAACGACGAGCUUUCUCUCCUCUCUCUCUAUCCGCCUCCGCCUCGGCCUCCGUCGGAGUCUCUCUCACAAUUCCGGAGACGCUCAGAUCCUCCCUUUUAGAUCUCCACUGUUCGCUGCGAAGCUUCAGAGACGAGAUCGGUGUUGGAUCUCGCAGCUCGCCGGAGACGUAGCACGUGACCAGAUCCUGUUUCUCCGACGCCUGAUGUCUCCGGAUCUCCGGUGUUCUCCUUGGAUCUCCGAUCUCAGUUGAUUUUCUCCUUAGAUCUCCGAUCUCCAACGUCCUUCUCUCUUUGCAUUUGACUCUCUCUUCUCACCGUGAAGACGUCGUGCCCUAGUGAUCGCUUGGAAUCGAUGAUGCAGAUUCGACUUCCGGUUCUCCACAGCACCAACGUCGUGACGUCCCGGAGUUGGGCGAGGUACUGGGAUCCACAUUUACUACAGGAGACGAUGACAAGAUAAACUUUAUUGAAUCUACUUUCUCAUUUGUAUUUGGGGAUGGUGAUCCAAAUCAAGGAAUUGAAGAAGAGAGAUGAAAGUUGAUAAUACUUGAGCACUAAGUUCAGUGAUUGGAAACAAGGGAAUUGUGGCUAUGAGAGAGAAUGGACCAACAUUCGGGAAAGACGAUUGGGAUGGGAACUGAGCAAGCUGGACUCUACUACUUGGAUGCUUCGAAGUAUGUUGGGUGUCGUGUCUCCCCUGCCACUGUCACUUCCACCACUCCUCAUCUUUGGCAUCAACGCCUUGGUCACCCUUCCAAUAAAACCCUGCAAGGCAUUUCUUUGUUUUCAGACUCUGUUAAAGCUCAUUUUAUUAAUGAUUGUUCUAUUUGUCCACUUGCUAAACAAGCAAGACUACCUUUUCCUUCCGGUUCUAUUAAGAAAAAAUCUUGUUUUGAGCUAAUUCAUGUUGAUAUUUGGAGUGGUUAUCAUGUUCCAACUUUACAAGGGGCAAAAUAUUUUCUCACUAGCGUAGAUGAUUUUUCUCGAUGUACAUGGGUUUAUCUCUUGCUUA
Molecule: long non-coding RNA, 1981 nt
Organism: Morus notabilis
Lineage: Eukaryota; Viridiplantae; Streptophyta; Magnoliopsida; Rosales; Moraceae
Exons: 6
Source: RefSeq, a predicted model, not a curated record